UAUUACAACUUUCAACAACGGAUCUCUUGGUUCUGGCAUCGAUGAAGAACGCAGCGAAAUGCGAUACGUAGUGUGAAUUGCAGAAUUCAGUGAAUCAUCGAAUCUUUGAACGCACAUUGCGCCCUUUGGUAUUCCAAAGGGCAUGCCUGUUCGAGCG
This 157-nucleotide ribosomal RNA is filed under the name Bipolaris heveae. RNAcentral describes it as "5.8S ribosomal RNA". It matches the Rfam family "5.8S ribosomal RNA". From Rfam's summary of the family: 5.8S ribosomal RNA (5.8S rRNA) is a component of the large subunit of the eukaryotic ribosome. It is transcribed by RNA polymerase I as part of the 45S precursor that also contains 18S and 28S rRNA. The record is from RNAcentral. Lineage: Eukaryota; Fungi; Ascomycota; Dothideomycetes; Pleosporales; Pleosporaceae.